GAUGAAGAACGUAGCGAAAUGCGAUAAGUAAUGUGAAUUGCAGAAUUCAGUGAAUCAUCGAAUCUUUGAACGCACAUUGCGCCCCCUGGUAUUCCGGGGGGCAUGCCUGUCCGAGCGUCAUUACAACCCUCAAGCUCAGCUUGGUGUUGGGCCCCGCCGCCCCGGCGGGCCCUAAAGUCAGUGGCGGUGCCGUCCGGCUCCGAGCGUAGUAAUUCUUCUCGCUCUGGAGGUCCGGUCGUGUGCUCGCCAGCAACCCCCAAUUUUUUUCAGGUUGACCUCGGAUCAGGUAGGGAUACCCGCUGAACUUGAGCAUAUCAAUAAGCGGAGGA
Molecule: unclassified non-coding RNA, 329 nt
Filed under: soil metagenome
Description: partial contains 5.8S ribosomal RNA, internal transcribed spacer 2, and large subunit ribosomal RNA
Rfam family: 5.8S ribosomal RNA (bases 1-120)
Source: RNAcentral